RNAcentral lists this ribosomal RNA (433 nucleotides) under uncultured bacterium. RNAcentral describes it as "partial 16S ribosomal RNA". It matches the Rfam family "Bacterial small subunit ribosomal RNA", at positions 29 to 507 of the family's 1533-position model. The record is from RNAcentral.
AACGAACGCUGGCGGCAUGCCUAACACAUGCAAGUCGAACGAGACCUUCGGGUCUAGUGGCGCACGGGUGCGUAACGCGUGGGAACCUGCCCUUAGGUUCGGAAUAACUCCCCGAAAGGGGUGCUAAUACCGGAUAAUGUCUUCGGACCAAAGAUUUAUCGCCUUUGGAUGGGCCCGCGUUGGAUUAGCUAGUUGGUAGGGUAAAAGCCUACCAAGGCGACGAUCCAUAGCUGGUCUGAGAGGAUGAUCAGCCACACUUGGACUGCGACACGGCCCAGACUCCUACGGGAGGCAGCAGUGGGGUAUAUUGUACAAUGGGCGAAAGCCUGAUCCAGCAAUGCCGCGUGAGUGAUGAAUGCCUUAGGGUUGUAAAGCUCUUUUACCCGGGAUGAUAAUGACAGUACCGGGAGAAUAAGCUCCGGCUAACUCCGUG